ACGAACGCUGGCGGCGUGCUUAACACAUGCAAGUCGAACGGAAAGGCCCUGCUUGCAGGGUACUCGAGUGGCGAACGGGUGAGUAACACGUGGGUGAUCUGCCCUGCACUUCGGGAUAAGCCUGGGAAACUGGGUCUAAUACCGGAUAGGAGCCAUUUUUAGUGUGAUGGUUGGAAAGUUUUUUCGGUGUAGGAUGAGCUCGCGGCCUAUCAGCUUGUUGGUGGGGUAAUGGACUACCAAGGCGGCGACGGGUAGCCGGCCUGAGAGGGUGGACGGCCACAUUGGGACUGAGUGACGGCCCAGACGCCUGCGGGAGGCAGAAGUGGGGAAUAUUGCUCCAUGGGCGCAAGCCUGGUGCAGAGAAGCCGCGUGAGGAAUAACAGCCUUCGGGUUGGAAUCACGAUUCCCUAGGGACGAAGCUUUUUUUGACGGUACCUACAAAAGAAGCACCGGCUAACUACGUG
Molecule: ribosomal RNA, 464 nt
Filed under: uncultured bacterium
Lineage: Bacteria
Description: partial 16S ribosomal RNA
Rfam family: Bacterial small subunit ribosomal RNA
Source: RNAcentral